AUAAUAAAUCAGGAUAAAGAAAAGGUGUUAGAGUAGUUGAAAAUAAACAAAGUAAAGAAGGUGUUAGAGUAGUUAGAGCAAAAAUAUAUACUUUAUAUAGUGUCUACAUUCCUCUAUUUCUUAAGGGCUUGAAUAUUUUUCAGAUGGUUUGAUUUUUCUAAAUGAUGUUGUCUAGUGCCCAAAAUAGGAUAGAGGAGGUGGAGAAGGUUAGGUCGAAGGUGAUUGUGUGGUUGUUUCAGGUUGUUGAAGGAAUUGAAGGGUUAAGGCAUUUAAGGUGUUGACCACUCCCUUGAAUCUUUCAUUUUGCUCAGCCUUGAUUGCAGGAAGUUUUGUAGUAGUGCUUGGAGCAUGUUGAGCCAUAAGGUCAUGCAUAUGUUUCAACAAGGCGGUAGAGGCAAGGUAAGUUGGUAUGUUAGGGUUUGGUGGAAGAAUGGUGAUUGGUUGAGGGUUGUAGGUGGCUAUUUGUGAAGGUUGGUUGGCGACUUGGGUUGAAUGGUUGAGGGGGUUGUGACAAUUUGAGUGUUAGGUUGGUUUUGUUAAGUUAUUGAGAGUGAAGUUGGUUGAGGUGAUUUGUCGGUAGGGUCAUGGUCUUCUAGGUUUUGGUUUGGUUUUUAGUGAGGUGGAGAGAUGGCGAUAAAGGAUUAGGCACACAAGAGAGGAGAAAAGAUAACGUGUUUGCACUCUGAAUAAAAUUGUAUCUCUUAUUGAAAAAAGAAAACAGAGUAU
This 726-nucleotide long non-coding RNA is filed under the name Vigna radiata. RNAcentral's name for it is "long non-coding RNA (VRAD_LNC008107)". The record is from RNAcentral. Lineage: Eukaryota; Viridiplantae; Streptophyta; Magnoliopsida; Fabales; Fabaceae.